CCUACGGGAGGCUGCAGUGGGGAAUUUUGGACAAUGGGCGCAAGCCUGAUCCAGCAAUGCCGCGUGAGUGAAGAAGGCCUUCGGGUUGUAAAGCUCUUUCAGUUGAGAAGAAAAGAUUGUAACUAAUAAUUGCGAUCCAUGACGGUAUCAACAGAAGAAGCACCGGCUAACUACGUGCCAGCAGCCGCGGUAAUACGUAGGGUGCGAGCGUUAAUCGGAAUUACUGGGCGUAAAGGGUGCGCAGGCGGUUCUGUAAGUCAGAUGUGAAAUCCCCGGGCUUAACCUGGGAACUGCGUUUGAAACUACAGAGCUAGAGUGUGGCAGAGGGGGGUGGAAUUCCAUGUGUAGCAGUGAAAUGCGUAGAGAUAUGGAAGAACAUCGAUGGCGAAGGCAGCCCCCUGGGUCAACACUGACGCUCAUGCACGAAAGCGUGGGGAGCAAACAGGAUUAGAUACCCCGGUAGUC
Molecule: ribosomal RNA, 465 nt
Filed under: uncultured beta proteobacterium
Lineage: Bacteria; Pseudomonadati; Pseudomonadota; Betaproteobacteria
Description: bacterial SSU rRNA
Rfam family: Bacterial small subunit ribosomal RNA
Source: RNAcentral